AAGAAUUGAAAACAAAAAUAUAUGUAUAUAUAAUCUGAUUUAUUAAAAAGAAGGAAAGUUCACAAAAUAUUUAUAUUACAUUUAAAAAAUAUUUUUAAAAAACAUAAAAUAUAAUUUUCAACUAAUAAAAUACUUUCUUCAUAUCUAUAUUUUCUUAGAUGAAAAUUAUAAAUCUCUACAUAAUGUGGUUUCAUUAAAUACAACUUACACAUAUAAUCUUGAUAUUAGAAACAAAAAUAUUAUU
RNAcentral lists this long non-coding RNA (244 nucleotides) under Brassica rapa (field mustard). RNAcentral describes it as "long non-coding RNA (BRAP_LNC007055)". The record is from RNAcentral. Lineage: Eukaryota; Viridiplantae; Streptophyta; Magnoliopsida; Brassicales; Brassicaceae.